UGUUGGUCUAAUGCAGCAGCAGCACUCAGAAAAGCAAGACAAGCAGGCGGCGGUAAAAUGUACAGUACAGUUGGAUGUUUUGUAUUUAAAAUCUAGCCUACGAAUAAUCCGAAUGUUGGUCAUUUAGGUACCAAAUACCUCAUUCACAAAUAGACACAAUGGAUGGAUAAGAAGAACAGAAACUUGUCCUCCACAUCUGCAUUGUAGUAGAUUGGACAGGGGCCGUCACAAGAUAAAGGCUCCUCCCCAUCUUUGAGACUAAAAGGAAGUUGUUCUUUCCUACAGAAGAAGUUGAUGGUGUACAUUGAUGUUCAGAUAAAACGGCUAAAAAGAGCAGGAAGAAAAGUGAGUGAGAAAGUUUCCUCAUCGACUGACAGCACUUAAUCUGAAGUCAGCAUCUGGAAAUCUGACACAAUGAGCCGUCCACAGGGCUACAUAGAAGGUGAAGCUCCAGCCUCCCAACAACACUCAGGGUCAAAUGGAGGGUCAAAGGUCAGAUCAGAGAGAGUGGCCCUGCUGGUUGUCAGCGCUCUCCCUGGCAGCUGCUGUCAUUGUUAUUUGCCGUCUCUGUAAGUUUGUCAUGUAGAUUGAUGUAUAUUGACUUUACUUUAGUUUUAUCCCCAGUAACAACUCCUCCUGUGUUACUGACAGUUACAGUAAAUACUGAGUUUAUGUUUAACCACAUAAAUUAAUGGCUCUUAUACUGAAAGGGUGCAGGAAGUGUCCAUCA
Molecule: long non-coding RNA, 730 nt
Filed under: Dicentrarchus labrax (European seabass)
Lineage: Eukaryota; Metazoa; Chordata; Actinopteri; Moronidae
Description: lncRNA (ENSDLAG00005021086.2)
Source: RNAcentral